Molecule: long non-coding RNA, 96 nt
Organism: Nanorana parkeri
Lineage: Eukaryota; Metazoa; Chordata; Amphibia; Anura; Dicroglossidae
Exons: 3
Source: RefSeq, a predicted model, not a curated record
GUCAGGGCCUUGCUUUCUACUUCCUCCAUAUACAGGUUCACCAUAAUAGGUGAAACUGGUGAUCCCAUGGCACAGCCAUGUUUUCACUUGUAGAUU